Molecule: long non-coding RNA, 558 nt
Filed under: Chinchilla lanigera (long-tailed chinchilla)
Lineage: Eukaryota; Metazoa; Chordata; Mammalia; Rodentia; Chinchillidae
Description: lncRNA (ENSCLAG00000022684.1)
Source: RNAcentral
GAGCAGAGGACGUCAAUGUCCCUUCAGCAGCUGCAGCUGUGUGGCUUGGGGAAUAGCAUCUGCCAUGUUCCUAGGCUCCUAAAGCAGACAGGCCACACUGGGCCCUGCUGCAAACACCAGGAUACUACCAAAGCCACUGCUCCAUCUCCCCUUUGACAAGCUACUGUGACCUUGAGGAAUGAUCUAGAACAACAACAGUGGCUUUCUGGGGAUCAUGAUUAUGUUUUAGUUACCACUAUGGUGCCCUAAAGAAUCCAACAGUGCAGGCCUCACACAGGACUUGCCAAGAUAAAGUCUGUAAGACUGAUUCAUCUAUAUGAAGGUAUAGCACAGAUCUAAAGGCACUGGACAACUUUGGGAUUGCUUUAUUUGUUCAAACAAAAUGGAAACAUUUUUUACAAUUAAUUUUGAAGCAAUAGCUUCUUUGUAUCUUUUUAAUAAAUUACUUUCACUCCAUGGUAAACCACGAUGUUAGGACACACGUGAAUUUGAAGUAAUCUUUAGCUUGUUCCACAUAAUGGAAGUCAUUGUUGAUCUUUUCUUUCAUAAUAAAACUCC